UGGCGGACGGGUGAGUAAUGUCUGGGGAACUGCCCGAUGGAGGGGGAUAACUACUGGAAACGGUAGCUAAUACCGCAUAACGUCGCAAGACCAAAGAGGGGGACCUUGGGCCUCUUGCCAUCGGAUGUGCCCAGAUGGGAUUAGCUAGUAGGUGGGGUAACGGCUCACCUAGGCGACGAUCCCUAGCUGGUCUGAGAGGAUGACCAGCCACACUGGAACUGAGACACGGUCCAG
RNAcentral lists this ribosomal RNA (234 nucleotides) under uncultured bacterium. RNAcentral's name for it is "partial 16S ribosomal RNA". It matches the Rfam family "Bacterial small subunit ribosomal RNA", at positions 96 to 334 of the family's 1533-position model. The record is from RNAcentral.